CUCUGUAUCUGUGUGUGUGCGUCUUGUGCUUUAACCCCUAGGACAAUAUGGAACUCGUGGGAUGUGGGUGGCAUGGAAGGACGACCCCUACAGAUGGAGGCCCCACUGGGAGACGAAGAAGAAGCAGCCACGAGUUUCUGGAAAGGAAUGCUGACAUGCAUCUGGGUACUGUUCAUGAUGUGGAUUCAUCUGUCCAGAGGCCUGAGGACAAAGCCUCUGCUAUGGAGCUGUCUGACCUGAUUGCUGUGGAGCUGGCGGGUUCCUGAAAAAUGAUCCAGCUCCUACCCUUGUUCUAUCAGUUAUUGCUGUACUAUUACUGCUGUACAUUGCUAUAUUGUUAUUGCUGUACAAUUGCUGUACUGCUGGAUUUCCCCUUGAUUUGUCAGUUAUUGCUUGCUAUCAGUUUUUCUUAUCCUGUCAGCUAUUUCUGCUGAGCACUAUGGGUAUCUUCAAGGCAGGUUGCAAAAUGCCAUGGUUGUUCAAAUUAAAAAUUGGAUACUGAGGUUAAUCUUGACAGAUUGGAUAUGGUUUUUUGACCUUUGCUGGUCACAGAAUAGGAUUUUUACUGUUUUUCAUGGUCCCUGAAAUACAAAAUUUACUAAUUGGUUGUCAUUUAUUCUAGUUAGCUUUCCAGGGACCUUACACCAGUGCUAUUGAGACCUUACUUAAAGGGGCUCUAUUCUGAGCAGAGUUUUCAGGAUUGUGCCAAAGCACAAUCUCCUUUGGGAAUGCUUAUAUAUGCUGGAGCAUGACAUUCAUGAUCUCAUGAAGCCGGAGUCAGGACUACUCAGGUCAAGUCCUUUUGGCAUUCGCCUCAAAAUAUCUUUCAGCAUAAUCUGGCUGGACUCAAUGUAUGACUAGUAACCAAAGACGGG
This is a non-coding RNA of Myodes glareolus (Bank vole), 875 nucleotides long. NCBI's taxonomy places the organism in Eukaryota, Metazoa, Chordata, Mammalia, Rodentia, Cricetidae. The record is from RefSeq and is a predicted model, not a curated record.